GAUGAACGCUGGCGGCGUGCCUAAUACAUGCAAGUCGAGCGAACAGACGAGGAGCUUGCUCCUUCGACGUUAGCGGCGGACGGGUGAGUAACACGUAGGUAACCUACCUAUAAGACUGGGAUAACUUCGGGAAACCGGAGCUAAUACCGGAUAAUAUUUCGAACCGCAUGGUUCGAUAGUGAAAGAUGGCUUUGCUAUCACUUAUAGAUGGACCUGCGCCGUAUUAGCUAGUUGGUAAGGUAACGGCUUACCAAGGCAACGAUCCGUAGCCGACCUGAGAGGGUGGCCGGCCACACUGGAACUGAGGCACGGUCCAGCCUCCUACGGGAGGCAGCAGUAGGGACUCUUCCGCAAUGGGCGAAAGCCUGACGGAGCAACGCCGCGUGAGUGAUGCAGGUCUUCGGAUCGUAAAACUCUGUUAUUAGGGAAGAACAAACGUGUAAGUAACUGUGCACGUCUUGACGGUACCUAAUCAGAAAGCCACGGCUAACUACGUG
RNAcentral lists this ribosomal RNA (497 nucleotides) under uncultured bacterium. RNAcentral describes it as "partial 16S ribosomal RNA". It matches the Rfam family "Bacterial small subunit ribosomal RNA", at positions 28 to 507 of the family's 1533-position model. The record is from RNAcentral.